AGAGUUUGAUCCUGGCUCAGAGCGAACGCUGGCGGCAGGCCUAACACAUGCAAGUCGAGCGCCCAGCAAUGGGAGCGGCAGACGGGAGAGUAACACGUGGGAACGUACCUUUCAGUUCGGAACAACCAAGGGAAACUUUGGCUAAUACCGGAUACGCCCGUAAGGGGAAAGAUUUAUCGCUGAAAGAUCGGCCCGCGUCUGAUUAGCUAGUUGGUGGGGUAACGGCCCACCAAGGCGACGAUCAGUAGCUGGUCUGAGAGGAUGACCAGCCUCACUGGGACUGAGACACGGCCCAGACUCCUACGGGAGGCAGCAGUGGGGAAUAUUGGACAAUGGGCGCAAGCCUGAUCCAGCCAUGCCGCGUGGAUGAUGACGGCCCUAGGGUUGUAAAGUCCUUUUAACGGGGAAGAUAAUGACGGUACCCGUAGAAUAGGCCCCGGCUAACUUCGUGCCAGCAGCCGCGGUAAUACGAAGGGGGCUAGCGUUGCUCGGAAUUACUGGGCGUAAAGCGCACGUAGGCGGCUUUCUAAGUCAGGGGUGAAAUCCUGGAGCCCAACUCCAGAACUGCCUUCGAUACUGGAAAGCUCGAGUCCGGGAGAGGUGAGUGGAACUGCGAGUGUAGAGGUGAAAUUCGUAGAUA
RNAcentral lists this ribosomal RNA (640 nucleotides) under uncultured bacterium. RNAcentral describes it as "bacterial SSU rRNA". It matches the Rfam family "Bacterial small subunit ribosomal RNA", at positions 8 to 696 of the family's 1533-position model. The record is from RNAcentral.